GCCGGCGUGGCGAAACUGGUAGACGCACGGGACUCAAAAUCCCGCGGAGCUCGCCUCCAUGUGGGUUCGAUUCCCUCCGCCGGCA
RNAcentral lists this transfer RNA (85 nucleotides) under Deltaproteobacteria bacterium. RNAcentral describes it as "tRNA-Leu". It matches the Rfam family "tRNA". From Rfam's summary of the family: Transfer RNA (tRNA) molecules are approximately 80 nucleotides in length. Their secondary structure includes four short double-helical elements and three loops (D, anti-codon, and T loops). Lineage: Bacteria; Pseudomonadati; Myxococcota; Myxococcia. RNAcentral also lists the same sequence under 1 other name. The record is from RNAcentral.